AUGGGCUGCUUCCUCUUUGGAGCGGCCAGAUCUGGAUCAUGGUGUUGGGGUGCUUGGAGGGGGUCGGUCUGGGAUGGGGCCUCGGAGUGGUGCUCGUUGCGGUGGCUGGAGCGGCCGGCUUCGCGCGAGCUGCUCGUCUCUUCGGAGAUGGGUGAGCGUGGCUCUUUGGAUCUGGGGCGGCGGCCCUUCCGGCGAGAUUUCAUUGGCUUGACCAGUGCUCGUUGGUGCUGGCCGUUCUUCCUCGGCCGCGGGGGCGGCAAGGCGGCGGCAGGUGGCGGCUGUGGUGCAGGCGUCUCGGCGGCGCCCGAUCCAGAUCUGAAGGCCUCCGUCUACUUCAACCAGGGCUGCCUCCGAUGGUCCUGCUUUGCGCGGCCUUUGUCGUCGGAGUUGUACCUGUUUGGCGGCUGGAGGUGGGAGUUGGCUCCGGAGAAAUCCGAGACCAGCAGUGCUGGUCACGACGGCGGCGACGCCCGAGGGCGCCGUACCCUUCUUGUAGGCGCCGUCCAGGUUGCCUCCUUCCCCUCUUCCUUGCACCCAGCUCGUAUGCCGGGCGAAAGCCCAAAUCCUUGCCGGAUCGAGCGACAGCGGCGCUCCGGGCGUCGUUACCUUCUUGGGGGUGUCGUUCGUGGUGAGUUUGGAGUGGAUGUGAUGCUUUGGUUGCUUGGCGGCGGAUUGGUCUUCAACAGCCCUGCCGGUCUCGGCGGAGCGGUGCUUCAUCCUACUCAUUGA
This 729-nucleotide ribosomal RNA is filed under the name Triticum aestivum (bread wheat). Its description in RNAcentral is "partial small subunit ribosomal RNA". The record is from RNAcentral. Lineage: Eukaryota; Viridiplantae; Streptophyta; Magnoliopsida; Poales; Poaceae.